Long non-coding RNA from Crotalus tigris (Tiger rattlesnake), 454 nucleotides. RefSeq lists it as uncharacterized. The record is from RefSeq and is a predicted model, not a curated record. Lineage: Eukaryota; Metazoa; Chordata; Lepidosauria; Squamata; Viperidae. The transcript has 3 exons.
UCUGGAUUAAAGGGCUGUACUUGAGUCCCUAUCGUACUUUUCCAGUGCCCACAGAUUAAAAUGAGGAUACACGUACACCCAGUCCUGGCUUGGAACUGCUGGGAAGGCGGGAAGGCACUCAAGAGACUUGCCAGGAACAACUAUUUUCUUCCUUUGCCUAAAUAGAAACUUCAGGGAAUGUGUGGAGUGGUGUGUAAAUUUGCCGGAGGCCAGGAUAGAAAGAUAUGAAGAGCGAUUUAUGAGAGCUGGAAUCCAAGACAUCUGGAGGACACAAAGCUGUGGAAGCUGAUGUUGUAGAUGUAAGGUGAGGUGGAGAUUCAGCUCUCUGGAUGUGGUAGAUGACCAGGCUGAGUCUGAAGAAGGAAUCAAGUGUGUUAUCAGUCUCGGGCCUAUAAGAGAUCUAAGCCUCUAGUGAUGAAGCAUCCACAACUUCUGGACACAACUUCCAUUCCGC